RNAcentral lists this ribosomal RNA (496 nucleotides) under uncultured bacterium. Its description in RNAcentral is "partial 16S ribosomal RNA". It matches the Rfam family "Bacterial small subunit ribosomal RNA", at positions 28 to 507 of the family's 1533-position model. The record is from RNAcentral.
GAUGAACGCUGGCGGCGUGCCUAAUACAUGCAAGUCGAGCGAACAGAUGAGGAGCUUGCUCCUCUGACGUUAGCGGCGGACGGGUGAGUAACACGUGGAUAACCUACCUAUAAGACUGGGAUAACUUCGGGAAACCGGAGCUAAUACCGGAUAAUAUAUUGAACCGCAUGGUUCAAUAGUGAAAGACGGUUUUGCUGUCACUUAUAGAUGGAUCCGCGCCGCAUUAGCUAGUUGGUAAGGUAACGGCUUACCAAGGCAACGAUGCGUAGCCGACCUGAAAGGGGAAUGGGACAAAGAGAAAAGGAGAACCGGUACAAACCCCAAAGGGAGGCGGCAGAAGGAAAUCUUCCGAAAUGGGGGAAAGGUUAACGGGAAAACGCCGGGGGAGGGAAGAAGGUAUUAGAAGUGUAAAACUUUGUUAAUAGGAAAGAAAAAAAGUGUAAGUAACUAGACACGUCUUGACGGUACCUAAAAAAAAAGCCACGGCUAAAAAAUG